AGAGUUUGAUCAUGGCUCAGGAUGAACGCUAGCUACAGGCUUAACACAUGCAAGUCGAGGGGCAGCAUGAGAUUAGCUUGCUAAUCUUGAUGGCGACCGGCGCACGGGUGAGUAACGCGUAUCCAACCUUCCCCCUACUCAGGCAUAGCCCGGUGAAAACCGGAUUAACUCCUGAUAGUUUCACUAGAUGGCAUCUGACGGUGAAUAAAGCUUUGCGGUAAGGGAUGGGGAUGCGUCUGAUUAGCUUGUUGGCGGGGUAACGGCCCACCAAGGCGACGAUCAGUAGGGGUUCUGAGAGGAAGGUCCCCCACAUUGGAACUGAGACACGGUCCAAACUCCUACGGGAGGCAGCAGUGAGGAAUAUUGGUCAAUGGGCGCGAGCCUGAACCAGCCAAGUAGCGUGCAGGAAGACGGCCCUAUGGGUUGUAAACUGCUUUUGUAUGGGAAUAAAGUCAGGGACGUGUCCCUGUUUGCAUGUACCAUAAGAAUAAGGACCGGCUAAUUCCGUGCCAGCAGCCGCGGUAAUACGGAAGGUCCGGGCGUUAUCCGGAUUUAUUGGGUUUAAAGGGAGCGUAGGCCGUCGUUUAAGCGUGUUGUGAAAUGUAGGCGCCCAACGUCUGCACUGCAGCGCGAACUGGAUGACUUGAGUACGCGGGAAGCAGGCGGAAUUCGUCGUGUAGCGGUGAAAUGCUUAGAUAUGACGAAGAACUCCGAUUGCGAAGGCAGCCUGCUGUAGCGCCACUGACGCUGAUGCUCGAAAGCGUGGGUAUCGAACAGGAUUAGAUACCCUGGGUAGUCCACGCAGUAAACGAUGAUGGCUAACUGCCGGCCUUACGGGGUCGGUGGCCAAGCGAAAGCGAUAAGCCAUCCACCUGGGGAGUACGACCGCAAGGUUGAAACUCAAAGGAAUUGACGGGGGCCCGCACAAGCGGAGGAACAUGUGGUUUAAUUCGAUGAUACGCGAGGAACCUUACCCGGGCUCGAACGGCAUAUGCAUAUUACAGAGAUGUAAUAGUCUACGGACAUAUGUCGAGGUGCUGCAUGGUUGUCGUCAGCUCGUGCCGUGAGGUGUCGGCUUAAGUGCCAUAACGAGCGCAACCCUUGCCGUCAGUUGCCAUCAGGUAGAGCUGGGGACUCUGGCGGGACUGCCACCGCAAGGUGUGAGGAGGGGGGGGAUGACGUCAAAUCAGCACGGCCCUUACGUCCGGGGCGACACACGUGUUACAAUGGUGGGUACAGAGGGUAGCCAUACAGUGAUGUAGCGCAGAUCUCAAAAACCCAUCUCAGUUCGGAUCGGAGUCUGCAACCCGACUCCGUGAAGCUGGAUUCGCUAGUAAUCGCGCAUCAGCCAUGGCGCGGUGAAUACGUUCCCGGGCCUUGUACACACCGCCCGUCAAGCCAUGAAAGCCGGGGGCGCCUGAAGUCCGUGACCGAGAGGAGCGGCCUAGGGCGAAACUGGUGAUUGGGGCUAAGUCGUAACAAGGUAACCGUA
This 1492-nucleotide ribosomal RNA is filed under the name uncultured rumen bacterium. RNAcentral's name for it is "bacterial SSU rRNA". It matches the Rfam family "Bacterial small subunit ribosomal RNA". The record is from RNAcentral.